UUACAUAUAUUUCCUGACAAACCGGUUACACUAAGACCCACGGAAACACGUAUGGGCUCGGGAAAGGGGUCCCCCGAAUAUUGGGUAUUCGUUGUUAAACCUAGUCGUAUACUUUAUGAAAUGGGGGGAGUAUCUGAAACUGUAGCUAGAGCAGCUAUCUCCAUAGCUGCCAGUAAAAUGCCCAUACGAAGUCAAUUUAUUCGAUUAGAGAUAUAG
This 216-nucleotide ribosomal RNA is filed under the name Triticum aestivum (bread wheat). Its description in RNAcentral is "partial small subunit ribosomal RNA". Lineage: Eukaryota; Viridiplantae; Streptophyta; Magnoliopsida; Poales; Poaceae. The record is from RNAcentral.